CCUACGGGUGGCUGCAGUGGGGAAUAUUGGGCAAUGGGCGCAAGCCUGACCCAGCCACGCCGCGUGAAGGAAGAAGGCUUUCGGGUUGUAAACUUCUUUUAAUGGGGAAGAGCAGAAGACGGUACCCCUUGAAUAAGCCACGGCUAACUACGUGCCAGCAGCCGCGGUCAUACGUAGGUGGCCAGCGGUGUCCGGAUUUACUGGGUGUAAAGGGCGUGCAGCCGGAGAGACAAGUCAGAUGUGAAAUCCACGGGCUCAACCCGUGAACUGCAUUUGAAACUGUUGCCCUUGAGUGUCGGAGAGGUAAGCGGAAUUCGGGGUGUAGCGGUGAAAUGCGUAGAUAUAAGGAAGAACACCAGUGGCGAAGGCGGAUUACUGGACGAUAACUGACGGUGAGGCGCGAAAGCGUGGGGAGCAAACAGGAUUAGAUACCCUAGUAGUC
Molecule: ribosomal RNA, 442 nt
Filed under: uncultured bacterium
Lineage: Bacteria
Description: partial 16S ribosomal RNA
Rfam family: Bacterial small subunit ribosomal RNA
Source: RNAcentral